RNAcentral lists this non-coding RNA (144 nucleotides) under uncultured Gellertiella sp. Its description in RNAcentral is "FMN riboswitch (RFN element)". It matches the Rfam family "FMN riboswitch aptamer (RFN element)". From Rfam's summary of the family: The RFN element is a highly conserved domain that is found frequently in the 5'-untranslated regions of prokaryotic mRNAs that encode for flavin mononucleotide (FMN) biosynthesis and transport proteins. This element is a metabolite-dependent riboswitch that directly binds FMN in the absence of proteins. The record is from RNAcentral. Lineage: Bacteria; Pseudomonadati; Pseudomonadota; Alphaproteobacteria; Hyphomicrobiales; Rhizobiaceae.
UGUUCUCAGGGCGGGGUGAAACUCCCCACCGGCGGUAUCGGGUGAAAACCCGGAGCCCGCGAGCGCCUUUUGCCUCCGUGCAGAAGGGUCAGCAGAUCCGGUGCGAUGCCGGAGCCGACGGUUACAGUCCGGAUGAAAGAGAGC